GGGAUAUAUCUCAAUGGUAGAGAGCUUGCCUAUCAUGCAAGAGGACCUGGGUUCAAGCCCCAGUGCCACCA
Cavia porcellus (domestic guinea pig) is the source of this 71-nucleotide transfer RNA. It matches the Rfam family "tRNA". From Rfam's summary of the family: Transfer RNA (tRNA) molecules are approximately 80 nucleotides in length. The record is from Rfam. Lineage: Eukaryota; Metazoa; Chordata; Mammalia; Rodentia; Caviidae.